This 253-nucleotide ribosomal RNA is filed under the name uncultured bacterium. Its description in RNAcentral is "partial 16S ribosomal RNA". It matches the Rfam family "Bacterial small subunit ribosomal RNA", at positions 524 to 776 of the family's 1533-position model. The record is from RNAcentral.
UACGUAGGCAGCAAGCGUUGUUCGGAAUUACUGGGCGUAAAGAGUGUGUAGGCGGUUCUCUAUGUUCGGUGUGAAAUCUCCCGGCUUAACUGGGAGGGUGCGCCGAAAACUGGAGGGCUUGAGUAUGGGAGAGGAAAGCGGAAUUCCUGGUGUAGCGGUGAAAUGCGUAGAUAUCAGGAGGAACACCGGUGGCGAAGGCGGGUCUCUGGGCAGUAACUGACGCUGAGGAGCGAAAGCGUGGGGAGCGAACAGG